CAGUCGCCGCGGGAAUACGAAGGGGGCUAGCGUUACUCGGAAUUACUGGGCGCAAAGGGCGCGUAGGCGGCACGAUUAGUCAGGCGUGAAAUUCCUGGGCUCAACCUGGGGACUGCGCUUGAUACGGUCGAGCUAGAGGAUGGAAGAGGGUUGUGGAAUUCCCGGUGUAGCGGUGAAAUGCGUAGAGAUCGGGAGGAACAUCAGUGGCGAAGGCGGCCAUCUGGGACAACACUGACGCUGAGGCACGAAAGCGUGGGGAGCAAACAGGAUUAGAUACCCGCGUAGUCCCUGUCUCUUAUAC
Molecule: ribosomal RNA, 301 nt
Filed under: uncultured bacterium
Lineage: Bacteria
Description: partial 16S ribosomal RNA
Rfam family: Bacterial small subunit ribosomal RNA
Source: RNAcentral